Molecule: ribosomal RNA, 460 nt
Filed under: uncultured bacterium
Lineage: Bacteria
Description: partial 16S ribosomal RNA
Rfam family: Bacterial small subunit ribosomal RNA
Source: RNAcentral
CCUACGGGUGGCAGCAGUGAGGAAUAUUGGUCAAUGGACGAGAGUCUGAACCAGCCAAGUAGCGUGAAGGAUGACUGCCCUAUGGGUUGUAAACUUCUUUUAUAUGGGAAUAAAACGUUCCACGUGUGGGAUUUUGUAUGUACCAUAUGAAUAAGGAUCGGCUAACUCCGUGCCAGCAGCCGCGGUAAUACGGAGGAACCGAGCGUUAUCCGGAUUUAUUGGGUUUAAAGGGAGCGUAGGUGGAUUGUUAAGUCAGUUGUGAAAGUUUGCGGCUUAACCGUAAAAUUGCAGUUGAAACUGGCAGUCUUGAGUACAGUAGAGGUGAGCGGAAUUCGUGGUGUAGCGGUGAAAUGCUUAGAUAUCACGAAGAACUCCGAUUGCGAAGGCAGUUCACUGGACUGCAACUGACACUGAGGCUCGAAAGUGUGGGUAUCAAACAGGAUUAGAUACCCCUGUAGUC